AUGCAGCAUAUACUGCAUUUCACCCCAUGCAUCUAUUUGCAAGACAAUAUGUUCUACUUACCCAUAGAACUUUAACAAACAUUACAUCAGGAAAAAAAAAAAAAAAAAAAAAAAAGACAAUUUGCAGAGGGGUCUGCAUCACAGCAAUGCAAGUGUUGGAGCCCUUUGGCAAGCCAUAGCGGUGAAGGCAGGACCCAGCACUCGGCAGGAAAAGCCACUAAAUGGCGUCAGCUGUUCAGCUCCUCUCAGCCCUGGUAACGCCAAAGGAAUCGGAGCUGUGGCACUGGGCAAGCCUGCAGGCUGCCCGCGACCAGCACCAGGCAUCCAUCGGCGCUGUCAGAACAGCUGUGUGGCUCAGCCUGUCGAGUGCUCAGCCCGCAAGGACACAUGCCUCCAGUGAAGGUCACUUGGGAGGAAACGUCUGUGGUCCUCCUAAACCCCUCUCGUUCUGGCUGUCUUCCUGUGGUCCAGUUCCUGGGGCAGAUUCUUCCCCUGAACAGCAUCCACCUCUUCAGAGGGCCAGGGCACAGGCCUGGUGCCAGGGCAAGGGCAGGGGAAGGCCAAGAGCACUCCUAAGUUCCUGCACUGCCAAGGGGAACCGCUCCUGCUCAGGCCACCCUAUGCUACAGAAAGGGGCUCUGAGAAAACUUGAAUGAAGCAUUUCCUUUCCUGGAUGCCAAAGGCUAAUUGACCAGCACGAGACCUGCUGAACUUGGUGGAACCGGGAUGGAUAUAAUCACUCAGGAGAGCCAAAAACCAAUUAACUGAAUGGCUUCAGCUGGUUUGACAUCUGCCUCUUUAUUCAAAAGCAAAACUAAGAUCAAUUUCUUAAUAUGCUCUGUAAUAUCUGCUAUUCCUUCCCUCUCAUUAU
This is a long non-coding RNA of Oxyura jamaicensis (ruddy duck), 871 nucleotides long. RefSeq lists it as uncharacterized. Lineage: Eukaryota; Metazoa; Chordata; Aves; Anseriformes; Anatidae. The transcript is spliced from 2 exons. The record is from RefSeq and is a predicted model, not a curated record.